AAGACCAUUCACUAAAGAAGACAACUGGAAUUUGUUUACCAAUGGUGGGAACUGAAAACUUGUUGCUUGCCAUUAACAUGCCAAUUCAGAUGCGAUUGUCUUCUAAAGAAUGUGCCGAGGCAAUCUACAUUGGAUCUGAAUAUCUGAUGGUAUUGUGAACGUGUUGCUUCAACCUUUACUUAUUUAGAAUCAUAUAUAUAAGUCAUCUAAGAAAAAUGUUAUUUAAGAUUUGCUGAAUAUAAAUAAAUAGAUGUAGAAGAUGUGAAUUAAUGUUCCUAAUGUUGAAUUGUUCAUUUCAAUGUCAAAAUUACACAGUUUUUUCUUACCCUAAUGCAUUUGAAAUUCUUAAUUCUUUUGUUUAAAUUAUACUGGAACCUAAUGCAUUUUGUCUCUUUUGAGCAGUAUUUUUGCUCUAAAAUGUGGUGCUGCCUGAUGAAGCCGUCUGCUGCACAGUGCUUCGAGUAGACCAACUGUUUUAUGGAUUGGUGGUGGUGACUGUUUUAUUAUUUUAUGAAUUAUUUUGUUGUUUUAUGGACUAGACUGUUUUAGUGACUCAAAUAUUUUAUGGACUAUUUUAGUGACUGGGGACUAUUUUAUGGACUAUUUUUAUGUAGAAAGUCUGUGAUAAUCGAUUUAUGGACUAUUUUUAUAAGUUUUGUGUUUGUUUUGUGGACAGGAUUGUUUAUGCAAA
RNAcentral lists this long non-coding RNA (691 nucleotides) under Capsicum annuum. RNAcentral describes it as "long non-coding RNA (CANN_LNC005145)". The record is from RNAcentral. Lineage: Eukaryota; Viridiplantae; Streptophyta; Magnoliopsida; Solanales; Solanaceae.